Molecule: ribosomal RNA, 465 nt
Filed under: uncultured bacterium
Lineage: Bacteria
Description: partial 16S ribosomal RNA
Rfam family: Bacterial small subunit ribosomal RNA
Source: RNAcentral
GACGAACGCUGGCGGCGUGCUUAACACAUGCAAGUCGAACGGAAAGGCCCCCUUGUGGGGUACUCGAGUGGCGAACGGGUGAGUAACACGUGAGUAACCUACCCUUUACUUUGGGAUAACUUCAGGAAACUGGGGCUAAUACCGGAUAGGAGCUCCUGCUGCAUGGUGGGGGUUGGAAAGUUUCGGCGGUUGGGGAUGGACUCGCGGCUUAUCAGCUUGUUGGUGGGGUAGUGGCUCACCAAGGCUUUGACGGGUAGCCGGCCUGAGAGGGUGACCGGCCUCAUUGGGACUGAGAUACGGCCCAGACUCCUACGGGAGGCAGCAGUGGGGAAUAUUGCACAAUGGGCGGAAGCCUGAUGCAGCAACGCCGCGUGCGGGAUGACGGCCUUCGGGUUGUAAACCGCUUUCGCCUGUGACGAAGCGUGAGUGACGGUAAUGGGUAAAGAAGCACCGGCUAACUACGUG